GUAGGUGGCAAGCGUUGUCCGGAAUUAUUGGGCGUAAAGCGCGCGCAGGCGGUUCUUUAAGUCUGAUGUGAAAGCCCACGGGCUCAACCGUGGAGGGUCAUUGGAAACUGGAGAACUUGAGUACAGAAGAGGAAAGCGGAAUUCCACGUGUAGCGGUGAAAUGCGUAGAGAUGUGGAGGAACACCAGGGGCGAAGGCGGCUUUCUGGUCUGUAACUGACGCUGAGGCGCGAAAGCGUGGGGAGCAAACAGGAUUAGAUACCCUGGUAGUCCACGCCGUAAACGAUGAGUGCUGAGUGUUAGGGGGUUUCCGCCCCUUAGUGCUGCAGCUAACGCAUUAAGCACUCCGCCUGGGGAGUACGGCCGCAAAGGCUG
RNAcentral lists this ribosomal RNA (373 nucleotides) under uncultured organism. Its description in RNAcentral is "partial 16S ribosomal RNA". It matches the Rfam family "Bacterial small subunit ribosomal RNA", at positions 527 to 896 of the family's 1533-position model. The record is from RNAcentral.